GUCCUUUGGGGUGAGGUAGUAGGUUGUAUAGUUUUAGGGUUAUACCCUGCCUGUCAGAUAACUAUACAAUCUACUGUCUUUCCUGAAGUGGCU
Molecule: microRNA precursor, 93 nt
Organism: Chrysemys picta bellii (western painted turtle)
Lineage: Eukaryota; Metazoa; Chordata; Testudines; Emydidae
Source: Ensembl